AUUCCACUGGAGUCGACUCGAAUCUCAGACCUGAAAAACUGCUCUUCUGUCCUUCUGUCUGUUUUCAGUCGGAGUCGACUCGUACUGAUCAGGAGUCGACUCGAGCUCGUGCCAGUGACCUUGAUACGCUUGGAGUCGACUCGUGAUACUCGGGAGUCGACUCGAGUCUCAGACAUUGGUUCAUGCAGACUUUUUAACUUAUCCAAAAUACUAUGAACCAAGUCUAGAAACACUUGGACAGGAUUUUCACUGAAACACUCAAUUGAAUUCAUUAGUAAUCACAAGAUAUACUCAAUUGCUUUGAGCUCAUCAAAAUCAAAUGGGGUUUUAAUCAAUCACUCCACAAUCUCUCCCUUUUUGAUGAUGACAAAACUUUGAGUAUAUGUAAAAUGAAUUACUCAUAAAACAAUGAAGUAAAAUCCAUAAAUAAAUUCAAAUGUCUGAUAAUUUAAUUUAUCCAAGUUUGAAGGGAGUGAAACAUUAAAUUUCGGAGUUAAAGCUCCCCCUUUCAUUUGGAAUUAUAUAAGCCUUCAUAUUAUGCAAUCAAUUGUUUGGCUUAUAUGUCAUUAAUGUUUUAGCUUGAUUAAAAUUCAGAUUCUC
This 600-nucleotide long non-coding RNA is filed under the name Phoenix dactylifera (date palm). RNAcentral describes it as "long non-coding RNA (PDAC_LNC020799)". The record is from RNAcentral. Lineage: Eukaryota; Viridiplantae; Streptophyta; Magnoliopsida; Arecales; Arecaceae.